Molecule: unclassified non-coding RNA, 282 nt
Filed under: Hevea brasiliensis (rubber tree)
Lineage: Eukaryota; Viridiplantae; Streptophyta; Magnoliopsida; Malpighiales; Euphorbiaceae
Source: RNAcentral
GAAAUGUUAGGAAACAACUCAAGAAAAUUGAUGAACGAGAACUACAUAUGAAGUAAGAGAAGUUACAGAAUCACUCCAUGGCGACGGUGGCUCCGGCCUCCUUCAACUUGGCAACAAUCUGCUCCGCCUCCUCCUUCGUCACCCCCUGCUUAAUCACCACCGGCGCUUUCUCCACCAGCUCCUUCGCCUCUUUCAGCCCCAAGCUCGUGAACGCCCUCACCUCCUUAAUCACCUUAAUCUUCGCUGCUGCCUCGAAUUUCUCCAGCUUCACGUCGAACGCCG